This 553-nucleotide long non-coding RNA is filed under the name Vigna radiata. Its description in RNAcentral is "long non-coding RNA (VRAD_LNC016251)". The record is from RNAcentral. Lineage: Eukaryota; Viridiplantae; Streptophyta; Magnoliopsida; Fabales; Fabaceae.
UCUGUUAACAGAUUGGCAAGCGUACCAAAUCGUAUCAAGUAAUAAUAAAUGGUAAGACCAAGUAUCGUUUUCCCAAGAGACUCGAAACGCCUUAUCGUUCGUGUGAAUUAAAAUCGUAAGACUUGAAAAUAAAAAUUAAUUAAUUUGGUAUGAGAAUAAAAUAUGAACAUGCAAAAGAGAUUGAUUCAAUUGACAAGAAGAAAACAAUGGAUGAAUGGAGUUGUUGGGGGUUUACAAUUUCAUCCUAUCCGCUCUCUCUUAUUUACUCCUCUUGAUUUAUUAGUUUGAUUAAUUAAUUGUCAUGCAACUUUCUUAGCCUACCCUUAACCUGAUCCCUCGGCGAAAAGAGCCUAAUACUAAUUACUAGCUUGCUAUCCCUAGCCUCCCCUAGCAAUUAAUACAGUAUUAUAGAGCAGAAGUUAUAAACAAUUGAUCGUCCUACCCCUAUCCCUGGGUGGUAUUGCUGAAUCAAGGAAUUACUCACCAGUUCAUGACAUUACUGUACGUCCCCGUAUCAAUAAAGACAAACAUCAGUUAUCGAAUGAGUUAAANN